UGAUUUGAGAUGGCCUCUCGCCCUAUUCAGUGUAACAGCUGUGGUAGUGGGUUUGGUCGCUCGCAUUUAAAUUGGAAGGGUAAUGGUGGACCGCACUUCUCCCUUAGUAGGACGUUGCGACCUGUCAAAUAAUAUCCUAAGUAUUUGGCUAAUUUGUCUGUUUUUAGGCAGUACUGAAAGGUAUUUCCUUUAACAGUUUUAGCCGUUUACAUACUGGAUAUAAUUGACAGUAACGAAUCAUGGUGUUGAGCCACUUACUUUGUAAGUGUCCUUUAUGGCUGUUUGCAAGUGGGUUGGUUAAUUAGUUUUAGUCGGAUUUUGGUCCGUCUAACUAUUCCGCCUACUGUUGGUAAACUGUUCCUUGGACAGUGCUUAUAACACCGGUCGGCAGCGAUUCAGGUUCAGGCUCUUAUCCGACCCGUCUGAAACACGGACCAAUAAAC
This 443-nucleotide ribosomal RNA is filed under the name Triatoma sordida. RNAcentral's name for it is "eukaryotic LSU rRNA". The record is from RNAcentral. Lineage: Eukaryota; Metazoa; Arthropoda; Insecta; Hemiptera; Reduviidae.